UACGUAGGGGGCAAGCGUUGUCCGGAUUUAUUGGGCGUAAAGAGCGUGUAGGCGGUUUGGUAGGUCCGCUGUGAAAACUCGAGGCUCAACCUCGAGACGCCGGUGGAAACCAUCAGACUAGAGUCCGGAAGAGGAGAGUGGAAUUCCUGGUGUAGCGGUGAAAUGCGCAGAUAUCAGGAAGAACACCCGUGGCUAAGGCGGCUCUCUAGUACGGUACUGACGUUGAGACGCGAAAGCGUGGGGAGCGAACAGG
RNAcentral lists this ribosomal RNA (253 nucleotides) under uncultured bacterium. Its description in RNAcentral is "partial 16S ribosomal RNA". It matches the Rfam family "Bacterial small subunit ribosomal RNA", at positions 524 to 776 of the family's 1533-position model. The record is from RNAcentral.